UAUGAAUCACACGAGUAAGAGAUGGUUUUUCUCUCACCGAUUUUCUUCUUUGAGGUUGUUUUCUGCUGUUCUUUCUUCCAAGCAUGGGAACCAUGUCAGUUCGAUUUGGCAAACAUGAAUGGCAUGGUUCGUAUCUUUCUUCACCAAGGUGUGCGCUGCCAGUUUUUUGUUGUAUUCUAGUAGGAGAUGCUAGAAUUUGAACGAUUUCAUUUUUUGUCUUCUCACAAUGGACAUGUUUAUUAGUUUUUACUGAGUUUCUAACUGUUUUCACAACAUUAUUUGUUGAAGUACUUCUCAUUUUAUCAGCAGCUGUUUCUUUCCAGGAACCAUUUCUAAUUUCAAGAUGUACAUUAGUGCCGAGGACAGAUUCAAAAGCCUUCAAGAUAUGACUCCUGAAACUCUCAGCUUUUGAUUUGUUUACGUUUGAACUUAACAUCAACUCUACAGUAUAAUCUGUUUAUAACAAAGAUUUAUUAGAUCAUUCCUAUCAUAAUGUAAGGUCGUACCAUCAAAAAUUAUAAGGAGAGUAAACGGCAUAGUUACCUGCAGAUCUUGUACCAAAGCUGAUAGAUGUGAGCAUCGCUUCUUGAUGCAUAAAAUAUUUCAGGGUAUUUAUUUGGAUAUUCUCAAUUACUGCUAUCCAGAUUUUCUCAACAUCCAUAAAUUCAUUAUUUUGAUUGCAUUGGUUUGCUUGUCUAGUUUCCGCAGAAUGAAUUGGACUCCUGAGAUUGACAUUAUCCGUGUCCUUUUCAUUUUUACAUAAAUGUUCUUGCCCGUUGGCAUUGUUCAGGGUAUCACCCUCAUUUGUGAUAUUCAUGACCAUUGGACUGUUGCUAAAACUAUUAUCUGUGGAAGAGUUUGGUAGCAUAUACUGCUCAUCUGGAGCAAGCUGGAGCAGUGCAGCU
This 905-nucleotide long non-coding RNA is filed under the name Zostera marina. RNAcentral describes it as "long non-coding RNA (ZMAR_LNC001751)". Lineage: Eukaryota; Viridiplantae; Streptophyta; Magnoliopsida; Alismatales; Zosteraceae. The record is from RNAcentral.